GUCUACAGCCAGACCACCCUUUACGCACCCAAUCUUGUUUGAUCUCAGAAACUAAGCAGGAUUGGGCCUGGUUGGUACUUGGAUGGGAGAAUGGCUAAAAGUAAAAGGACUAAGCAUACC
RNAcentral lists this ribosomal RNA (120 nucleotides) under Propithecus coquereli (Coquerel's sifaka). Lineage: Eukaryota; Metazoa; Chordata; Mammalia; Primates; Indriidae. The record is from RNAcentral.